UGACUUGCCACUCACAAAUAUAUUUCUGUAGUCCUACUGCUUUUGCCUCUCAACACUCCUUGACCUUCUGCCUGGUAACAUCCCUCAACCCUCCUCCAGGAGAAUGUGGCUGCCAAAACUCUUCGCUGACACAUGUGGGUGAGACCUGUGCCCAGUGCUAACCCAGAUGUUCUUCCUUUUUCUUAAAAGAAGGCAAAGAAGGAUUUUGGCUGCAUAAAGGGCUUGUCGAUUUGAGCUUGCUUGGUUCCUGCUGGGUCAGGCUCUGAGCUCUGUACAGGAAACCCUCUCGGGAGUGAUCUCUGAAUGUUCUACAGAACACAUGUGCCCAUUUAUCCCAGCAAGUCUGGAGAGAUUUCUCUGCUCCACUGUGUCUUCCCAGAUUUGAAAAUGCCAGUAUUCCGUGGAGUGUCACGCUGUGCUGUGCCAUCAGAGAGUGGUGGUUCUCGAAAUAUUGGGGCAAAGUGUGGAGACAGAUGGGGGUUCCGGGGGGUUCCAGCUUCUGCGCUUAUGCCCCAGCUGGAUGGUGGCUGGUUUCUGGCUUUCCUGUUUUGUGCCGGGGUUCAUUUUGAGUCAGUACUUCCCAAAUGACAGAAAAGCAUGAGCAGCGUUAGUAUUUUCCUGUUUUCCUUGGGGUUGAUUUAUAUUUUCUAACUCAAAUAAAUUAAUAUUCUACAACCUUUCUAAGAGCGUGCUUCUUAUCACCCAGCAUGUGGUUCUUAUUGUCUUUCUGUAAGGGAUGCUCUACCGUUUUGGUAUCGCCAGCAGACACUCAAUUGUAUUUUUUAGCAUGGUUGUGGCAGUUCGAACUAAUGUACAAGACAUUUUGAAAAAAAGGUAAACACUGAAAAUGGAAAAACAAAACUGAAAACAGAUUAUUUGUGUAAAACCUGAAGAUUAACUAGAAAAGCCAAAGUCGUCAUAUUUUUUAAGUAACAGCAUUUACAAAACUAUUAAAUAUAACAUUAUCUACAAGAUAAGUAGUCAAAACUGGAGUAAAUGUCUGAGUCUUCCCAGUCCCGAAGCAACAGGAAGUAUCUUAGAGCACGUGGGGUAGUGGCAUAUAGGAUAGAGUGAGCCUACCCCUUGCUACUGGAGUACAGACCCAAGAUGGUUAAGUCUAGUG
This 1123-nucleotide long non-coding RNA is filed under the name Chinchilla lanigera (long-tailed chinchilla). RNAcentral describes it as "lncRNA (ENSCLAG00000026364.1)". Lineage: Eukaryota; Metazoa; Chordata; Mammalia; Rodentia; Chinchillidae. The record is from RNAcentral.